UAAAUACGACCCUGAAGUGGGAAAUAUUAAAACAUCCACCAUGUAGGCCUGAUCUGGUACCUUCAGAUAUUUUUUGUUUGGGUCCAUUAAAAAAAAUACAGGAAAAAAUUUAUUUUCAAAAGGAGGAGGAAGUCAUGAACAUAGUUAUUGAAUAGUUUGAUGGAAAAUGUGCUGCAUAUUUCAGAGACGGCAAUUUUAAGUUAUUCCGUCGUUGAAAAAAUGCAAAAAUUUGAAUGGUGACUAUGUAGACGAAUAGUAAAAUAUAUCUUACUUAUCAUGUAAAAGUUCUAAAGUAAUAAAUUAAUUUUUUAUUGUUUAGUAUACUUUGUACCUUAUUUAUCAGAUAGCCUACAUACAUUAUAAAAAAUAGCAGAUACUAUUGGUAUUGAAUUGGGAAAAAAAAAAGAACAUCGAAACACAAACUCGAAGAGCUAAUCCAAUUCUUCAAGAAGACUCAAUUGAACAAUAAUAUUGCAUCAUAGUGUUUUUACCAUAUGUUGAUUACUUUAUUUCUCUAUUUACUGAACAAUUUAUAAACCAUAAAACUAUUUUUGAAGUUUUCAGGUCAGGACUACAGACACAUUUGUGAUGAAGUUCUAUCCAUUUAUAUUUAUAAAUAUGUUAUUAAAAAUCUUUUGUGCACUACCAGUGUCAACAACUACUCCUGAACAAUUAUUUUCUAGUUUAAUAAGAAUAAAGUUAUACCUACCUCAGGAAUAGUAUGAAGGAGACAAGACUUAAUGGGUACGCUUUGCUGUCUUGUCACAGAAAAGUCAAAAUUACAACAAAUGAAAUAAUAAAUGAGUUGUAUAUGGAAAAGAGAAAACUAGAAUUUAUUUUAUAAAUUAAA
This is a long non-coding RNA of Sipha flava (yellow sugarcane aphid), 850 nucleotides long. RefSeq lists it as uncharacterized. NCBI's taxonomy places the organism in Eukaryota, Metazoa, Arthropoda, Insecta, Hemiptera, Aphididae. The transcript has 3 exons. The record is from RefSeq and is a predicted model, not a curated record.